RNAcentral lists this ribosomal RNA (253 nucleotides) under uncultured bacterium. RNAcentral's name for it is "partial 16S ribosomal RNA". It matches the Rfam family "Bacterial small subunit ribosomal RNA", at positions 524 to 776 of the family's 1533-position model. The record is from RNAcentral.
UACGUAGGGCGCAAGCGUUGUCCGGAAUUAUUGGGCGUAAAGAGCUCGUAGGCGGUCUGUCGCGUCGGCUGUGAAAACCCGAGGCUCAACCUCGGGCCUGCAGUCGAUACGGGCAGACUAGAGUGCUGUAGGGGAGACUGGAAUUCCUGGUGUAGCGGUGAAAUGCGCAGAUAUCAGGAGGAACACCAAUGGCGAAGGCAGCUCGCUGGGACGGUACUGACGCUGAGACGCGAAAGCGUGGGGAGCGAACAGG